GAUUUCUAUCUUUGGAGUCAAUGAAAAAUUUAACUGUAAAUACAUGGUGGUGGAAUAACUUACGAAAAAACGCGUGAGCAAAGCACCAUUGUAUUAAAUAUAUAUAUAAGGCUUGUC
Molecule: non-coding RNA, 117 nt
Organism: Cellulophaga algicola DSM 14237
Lineage: Bacteria; Pseudomonadati; Bacteroidota; Flavobacteriia; Flavobacteriales; Flavobacteriaceae
Source: Rfam